UACGGGGGGGGGCAAGCGUUGUUCGGAAUUACUGGGCGUAAAGGGCGCGUAGGCGGUCAGACCAAGUCGCGUGUGAAAUGCCAGGGCUUAACUCUGGCACGCUCGCGCGAUACUGGUCGGCUAGAGUGUGGAAGAGGAUGCUGGAAUUCCCGGUGUAGCGGUGAAAUGCGUAGAUAUCGGGAGGAAUACCGGUGGCGAAGGCGGCAUCCUGGACCGGCAUUGACGCUGAAAAGCGAAAGCUAGGGGAGCAAACGGG
RNAcentral lists this ribosomal RNA (256 nucleotides) under uncultured bacterium. RNAcentral describes it as "partial 16S ribosomal RNA". It matches the Rfam family "Bacterial small subunit ribosomal RNA", at positions 524 to 776 of the family's 1533-position model. The record is from RNAcentral.